This is a non-coding RNA of Xyrichtys novacula (pearly razorfish), 470 nucleotides long. The record is from the annotation of a GenBank genome assembly. Lineage: Eukaryota; Metazoa; Chordata; Actinopteri; Labriformes; Labridae.
CAUGCUCAAGCUGAUUUGUAAUCGCGAAUAUUAAACUUGUUCAAUAUCACAAACAGAUGUCCUGUUGUGGGGGGAACCUGAGGACAGUCUGGCAUGCACUCUGUGGAUUGUCAUGGAACCAAGUGACAGCAAUGCUAAUCCAGGGGCCGCAGCCGUCAGAGGGCCCAGCGUUCAUCACUUGUCAGAAGGUAAGCCACAACAGAUAUCCACCUGGCUCACCAGCAAGCAUGGUUUCUGUAUUACCAGAGUGUUACAGAGCAAUUUGAGGGUCUGCUGUUCUGGCUGUAUUAGCACACAUAGAAUAUGUGGGGGGCCCCACUAAUUUCCCCUUCAAGGUAAGCCAAGCUGCUUUCAUGCAUGCUGCCAUCCUUUAUUUAUUUAUUUAUUAAACAAAUGUAAUUUUGUUGUAUUUUAAUACUGAGAAAAUACAGGUUUUCAUCUUUCUAACUACAAGGCCUUCAUAGUCUGAG